UACGGAGGGGGCUAGCGUUGUUCGGAAUUACUGGGCGUAAAGCGCGCGUAGGCGGACCUGCAAGUCGGGGGUGAAAGCCCGGGGCUCAACUCCGGAACUGCCUUUAAGACUGCAUCGCUUGAAUCCAGGAGAGGUGAGUGGAAUUCCGAGUGUAGAGGUGAAAUUCGUAGAUAUUCGGAAGAACACCAGUGGCGAAGGCGGCUCACUGGACUGGUAUUGACGCUGAGGUGCGAAAGCGUGGGGAGCAAACAGG
RNAcentral lists this ribosomal RNA (253 nucleotides) under uncultured bacterium. Its description in RNAcentral is "partial 16S ribosomal RNA". It matches the Rfam family "Bacterial small subunit ribosomal RNA", at positions 524 to 776 of the family's 1533-position model. The record is from RNAcentral.